ACUCUAUACUUCAACUGUACUGAAUUUCAGUUCUUCAAAAAUGCCAUGUUCUUUCUUGCAUUCAUGUUAAUUAUCUCUCCCUGGACAAAGUUUCCAUGUUAAGCACAAAGAACAAUACCUGCGUGUGGAAUGGAAAUCAACAUAAAUUUUUUUAAAAACACUCAACCAGGCCAGGCACGGCUCACGCCUGUAAUCCCAGCACUUUGGGAGGCCGAGGCGGGUGGAUCACGAGGUCAGGAGAUGAAGACCAUCCUGGCUAACAUGGUGAAACCCCGUCUCUAUUAAAAAUACAAAAAAUUAGCCGGGCGUGGUGGCCGGCGCCUGUAGUCCCAGCUACUCGGGAGGCUGAGGCAGGAGAAUGGCAUGAACUCGGGAGGCGGAACUUGCAGUGAGCCGAGAUCGCGCUCCUGCACUCCAGCCUGGGCGACAGAGUGAGACUCAGUCUCGAAAAAAAAAAAACCCACCAAAAGUUCUUUUGUAAAAAGAGAAAACCUUGAAGUAAAAAUGAUAGAAAUGCCUUUCCAUUAAAGCAGAUAUAUAGAAAGUCCUUAAGGUACAUGUUAGCUUGGCAUACCAGGCACGGACUCUCCACAGCAAUGAGCACAGGCUAUCCAAUGAAAUAGAAAAUUUAUGGGUGAGAUAACUACAAAAAAUUUAUUAGUACAGAUUCCAGCAUUGCAUCCACCAGACCAGAUGAAUUCAGUUCUGAGCAAUGUCUGUAAUCACACAGAGCUGUUCCCUGAAUGGCAAUAACCCAAGCUACUUUCUAGUGGGUCUCUUUAUUUAUUGCAAUGUCAAUCUUGUCAUAGAUCCUACUACUUUGUCUCUGGGUACAACCACAAGAGACAUUUCGCUUAUAAGAACAAGCCCACUUCCCUUAAUAAUGGCUGGUUAUGUCACCACAGAAACAGCUUUACCUCCAAGAGAAUCUGGUAAAAUGGGCAUUAUGGGAAAAGCUGCUUUUCUCCACCGUAACGACAGGUGAGGGUGUGGCACACAAGUUAUUUUCAGGACCUCAUGCUAUUGUAUUCUUGGAAAAGUUAAGUGGACAGCCAAAUGUUAUGCUUUACCAGAAAGGAGCUAGGAGUUCAAACUUCAUAGAAAAAUUAAAAUCCAUUGGGAAGAAACCUUGACAUUAAUGAAAAACAUAUAUAAUAUUAUAGUCAUCGAUCCUCAUAAACACAAUGGCCCCAUUUGAUAGAUUUUUACUUCUCUCAUUUUGGAUCUCCACUGAACUCUAAGUCACAUUCAAUCAUUGAAAUGGCUUAAUAAUCAGUGGCUUAAAACUUGGGGUAUUUAUUAUAGAAGUGACCAGUAUAUAAUGACCAAUCAUUACCAUAUGAAAUUACAAUCCUUUUCAGUAUCAUGCAAUGUUUCAAGAAAAUAUUCUAAAGAUAUGUUCUCUUGCAUAAAUAUUCCUAUUACAAAUGUGUGUCAAAGACCACUAUAAAACUAAAAUUCACUUCUUUCUCAUACAUGUUCAUCUGUCAGUGUUUAAAAU
Molecule: long non-coding RNA, 1501 nt
Filed under: Homo sapiens (human)
Lineage: Eukaryota; Metazoa; Chordata; Mammalia; Primates; Hominidae
Description: non-protein coding lnc-CHRM5-1:1
Source: RNAcentral